Molecule: ribosomal RNA, 443 nt
Filed under: uncultured bacterium
Lineage: Bacteria
Description: partial 16S ribosomal RNA
Rfam family: Bacterial small subunit ribosomal RNA
Source: RNAcentral
CCUACGGGAGGCAGCAGUGGGGAAUAUUGGGCAAUGGGCGCAAGCCUGACCCAGCAACGCCGCGUGAAGGAAGAAGGCUUUCGGGUUGUAAACUUCUUUUCUCAGGGACGAAGAAAGUGACGGUACCUGAGGAAUAAGCCACGGCUAACUACGUGCCAGCAGCCGCGGUAAUACGUAGGUGGCAAGCGUUAUCCGGAUUUACUGGGUGUAAAGGGCGUGUAGGCGGGAAAGCAAGUCAGAUGUGAAAACCAUGGGCUCAACCUGUGGCCUGCAUUUGAAACUGUUUUUCUUGAGUACUGGGGAGGCAGACGGAAUUCCUAGUGUAGCGGUGAAAUGCGUAGAUAUUAGGAGGAACACCAGUGGCGAAGGCGGUCUGCUGGACAGCAACUGACGCUGAGGCGCGGAGGCGUGGGGAGCAAACAGGAUUAGAUACCCCUGUAGUC